Non-coding RNA from Nothobranchius furzeri (turquoise killifish), 2437 nucleotides. The record is from RefSeq and is a predicted model, not a curated record. Lineage: Eukaryota; Metazoa; Chordata; Actinopteri; Cyprinodontiformes; Nothobranchiidae.
AUCAGGGAGUCCCGGCCCCCUCGGGGGGGAGGGUGGGGUGGAGAACAUCGAGGGUGGGGUUGGCAGGCACCAUCAUCAACGUCAAAAUAAAUCAUAAGGCUUUUGGUGUUGCAUGAUAUAUGAAUCAAUGUUACAAGAAAGAUAAAAAACUAUUUAUUAAUCUAUGACCCGUUUGGUUGAAUUUUUUUUAAUUUUACAAUUUUUUUAAAUAAUUGAUUUACUGAAUGAAUGAAAGGAAGUUUCACCCUCCUGAGUAAUUGUCAUUGAUUGUGAUUUUAUUAGUCACAUUUCCCUGUUGUUCACUCUUUAACUGUCCUCUGUUCGAGUCCUUUUAUUGUCCUCGCAGCUAUCAGGUGAACUUUAGACCCUUUAAGCACAAUAUUAUUAAAGCCAGAUUCAGAGAGCACCCAAAACUCUAACUUUCCAUGGUCUUUCAUUUCUGCUCACACUCCUACCUUUAUCUGGCUGGUAACAAGAGAGGUCGAAGAGAGAGAGAGAGAUAAAGGAGUGAGACCCACGUUUUCACACCACACCUGUUUCUCAUUCCCAGACUCAUCAUUCCUGGCAGGACCGACCAGCCAGUGAGGAAGUACAACACAAGAGCUGCUGCAGCAGGAAGACAGAGGUCCCAUCACCUGUCCAACAGAAGAAGUGUUGAGGACUGCGAGAGGCUGCCGUUGUCCCCUCAGGGAGGGUUGUCUGGACUUCCUUUGUGCUUUUCCUUCAACAGGAGACACACGGGGGGAGUUUAACCUGCAGGGACACGUGUAGGUUUGCUUUUAUUUAAACACCAGUUCUGCUUUUUGAACACCAAGGUGGUCGGAUGUAGGUGAAGUGGCACUUUUCAACGCCUGUCUUGUCCCAAAACAUAAAAACCAAGUGGGUGCACCUUGUGGGGACACGGACCGCGGCGACGUGGCACCGGUUGCUGCUCGCACGUGUUUCACGUUAAACUUGAACAGAUCAUUUGGAUCACAGCUCCGAAUGCUCACGUGGUUUCUGGAAUGGAAGAUGGCAAGUAAGCAUUAUAGGAUUAUUCAAAGCAUCUGGAGUAGUUAAAAGAAGGUUCGCAUUUUAAUGAACGGGGAGCUUGCAACCAUUUGGAUGAGCCAUGUGUUCGCCACACAUUGCUCCACUCAACGAGGGCUGGAGAACAGCAGCUUGUUGCCGGGCGAAAGGCUUUGCACCCAGGUGCCGGAGUGGUCUUACUCCGUUUGACGAGGACAGUAAGAGGCAAACAGCAUAUGUGCCAAGUCAUUAGUUAUAAUCCAACCAGUGUCAAAAUGGCCAUAAAAAAAGCCACAAGUAAAGGAUGAAAGCUUCAGGCUUGGGCAUGGAGUCUUUUAAAGUUUUAUUCUUCCAUUUAGUGAGGCUUGUUUUUAAAUGACAAGCAUUUAUCUAAAUUUACAGCUUUAUGUGAUGUUAAUCCUACUGAAAAAAAAAACGUCUUUUGUUAAUGAGUUAGAGGCCCUUGGAAAGUCGUGUCCCCACCCAAACAAAUGUUUCAACUUAUUCAGAUUAAGCAUCUGGGAGCAUGAGAAAGAGCUUUUCAUUCUGCACUUGAUCCCAGCAGGGAAUUUGGUGCAACCUCGCAAGGAGCUCAAAGAAUUUUGGUUCUGCUUUUUUUGGUAAAUCCUGAUCCUGGCGGUCCGUGAUUUUUCCCGUUUCACGGCUGUCAGUCACAGAGGUGGUCUCCUCUCCCAACCCUGGGGAGUUCGGAGGAGAAUGGAUUCCCUCUGUGCCAUCAUCAAAAUCACAUUGUCUGAAUCUGCUGGUCCACGAUGAAACUUGGAGGCUUUUCCUGAAUUUGACUUUAAUUAGACGGACCCUUUGGACCUUUUUCUGCUCUUUGAUCCACUGGAGUUCUUGCAGGAAGCUUAACUGGCCCUAAUCAGCAGCUUGAGAACCAUUUCAGGCUACCCUGAGGGGUGCAGAGAGGAGUCAGGCUGAAGGGGAGGGGGGCCAGACUAGAAGUCUGGCUCCAAACACAGAUAGGGGAACUAACAGGCCUCGUGUCAUACGGUCACUAAAUCAAGGAGUCUGUUAAACUGGACACAACUGCAUUUGAUGCCAGGAUCUGACACGCUCACACCCUUUAUGGGACAAUUAGACAGACCAUUGCUCAGUCCACGGUUGUUGAUGUAAAGGGGAAGUCCAACAAUGCUUGCAGAUGGUGAUAACCCCACAAAAAUACCCUGCUGUUUCAACAAUAGCUUAGCUGUUGAUGUGUGAAACAUGCGAUUGGGAAUUUUUUUCUAACACUUAAACUAAAAAAAUAAAUCUAAAAUUUACAUAAACUCAUUUUGCAUAUGAAAUAAAAGCAUCAAUCAAGAUUUAAUCAUCCUGUCAAGGUUUCUCAAAUAUUAAUUCAAUUCAGUUUAUUUAUAUAGCGCCAAAUCAUGACACAAGUCGUCUCAAGGCACUUCACAGAGUAAUA